GAGCAUGCUGCUGAACUAGGUAGUCAGUACAAUCAGCCUCUUUUACCGAAGAAAGUGAGUUCUGGGCUUGCUGGUGUUAAUGUAACUGAAAAGAGCGGCAGCAAUCUAGUCAGAUCUAAUGAAAACACACAGAAGCCUUCUCCCGAUGGUAACAACAUUGCAGCCUUCAAUCAUGGUGCGGGCAGCAAUGCUGUGGCCAAUGUGGUACGUUUCUGCCUUUUUC
RNAcentral lists this unclassified non-coding RNA (223 nucleotides) under Hevea brasiliensis (rubber tree). Lineage: Eukaryota; Viridiplantae; Streptophyta; Magnoliopsida; Malpighiales; Euphorbiaceae. The record is from RNAcentral.